AAGCCUUAAAUAUCAAAUGUAUUAUUUUAGGCCAGAUUCGUCUUGAAAUAUCGACACAGUGAUGGCUGCAUUGUGGUAAAGAUGACUGACAACGUAGAGUGCGUUCAGUAUAAAACAGAGAGUGCACAGGACCUUAAGAAGCUUGAGAAGUUAAACAACAUGCUCAUGAGGCACAUGGCAACAAGGGAUACUCAUCACUGAUGCUAACAGAGUUUAUUACAUUACGCCCAUGGAAUUGACAUAACUUGAACAUGUAAUAGUUUGUUCAAGUGGAUAGUUCUCAUGAAUGGACUGUAUAAAAUACAGUCAGGUGUGUAGUGAGGUACUGCACUAUGAUGUGAGAGCAGAAACUUAGAUUGCAGAGUAAUCUAAAAUUGUUCUUCCCCUACAUACAGGGGAAAUACUGCUAACGCCCCCCAUAUCCACAUAAUUACCUAAUUCUGGAUUUAGCAUAAAUUUGUUUAAAUGAAAAUUAUUGCCCAAAAAGUUAUAUACCAAACAAAUAUCAUGGCGUAAGUUGUAAAUUAUGAUGUCUAUUUUGUGUAUGAACAAUUCAUUUGUCUAAUUAUUGUCUAGUUAAACUAUUCUUGAUGCAGAACAGAUGGCGAUAAAUUUAACUUGUAUGGGGAAAGCUUGUUGGUUUUCUUUUGGUAUGUGUGGUCUAUUACAAGUAUUACAUUACGCAGAGUGGUGUUGCUAACGAUUGUACAGCAUUUUUCAUCAAAAUAAAGUGUAUUUUGUUAAUAUUAA
Priapulus caudatus is the source of this 750-nucleotide long non-coding RNA. RefSeq lists it as uncharacterized. The record is from RefSeq and is a predicted model, not a curated record. The transcript is spliced from 2 exons. NCBI's taxonomy places the organism in Eukaryota, Metazoa, Priapulida, Priapulimorpha, Priapulimorphida, Priapulidae.